CAAUAGCGUAUAUUAAAGUUGUUGCAGUUAAAAAGCUCGUAGUUGGAUUUCGGGGCAGCCUGGCUGGUCCGCCGCAAGGCGAGUACUGGUCAGCCGCCCUUCCUCUCGAAAGCCCCGACUGCUCUUUAUUGCAGUGGUCGGGUAGUUCGGGACGUUUACUUUGAAAAAAUUAGAGUGUUCAAGGCAGGCCUACGCCUGAAUACAUUAGCAUGGAAUAAUGGAAGAGGACCUCGGUCCUAUUUUGUUGGUUUCCAGGACCGAAGUAAUGAUUAAGAGGGACAGUUGGGGGCAUUCGUAUUUAAUCGUCAGAGGUGAAAUUCUCGGAUUUAUGAAAGACGAACAACUGCGAAAGCAUUUGCCAAGGAUGUUUUCAUUAA
RNAcentral lists this ribosomal RNA (377 nucleotides) under uncultured eukaryote. Its description in RNAcentral is "partial 18S ribosomal RNA". It matches the Rfam family "Eukaryotic small subunit ribosomal RNA", at positions 592 to 976 of the family's 1831-position model. The record is from RNAcentral.